Molecule: non-coding RNA, 46 nt
Organism: Trichomalopsis sarcophagae
Lineage: Eukaryota; Metazoa; Arthropoda; Insecta; Hymenoptera; Pteromalidae
Source: Rfam
UAAUCAGCUCUUUUAAGAGCUACCACAUUUUUUUAACGUAAAAAUA